This 124-nucleotide ribosomal RNA is filed under the name Carlito syrichta (Philippine tarsier). Lineage: Eukaryota; Metazoa; Chordata; Mammalia; Primates; Tarsiidae. The record is from RNAcentral.
GUCUACUGCCAUACCACCCUGAACAGGCCCGAUCUCAUCUGAUUUCAGAAGCUAAGCAGGGUUGGGCCUGGUUAGUACUUGGAUGGGGAAAUGAGAGAUUAAGUGAAAAUAUGAGUGGUGGAAU